This 170-nucleotide ribosomal RNA is filed under the name Acanthurus blochii (ringtail surgeonfish). RNAcentral describes it as "partial small subunit ribosomal RNA". Lineage: Eukaryota; Metazoa; Chordata; Actinopteri; Acanthuriformes; Acanthuridae. The record is from RNAcentral.
CACCGCGGUUAUACGAGAGACCCAAGUUGACAGACAAUCGGCGUAAAGAGUGGUUAAGUAAUACAUUACACUAAAGCCAAACAUCUUCAAAGCUGUUAUACGCACCCGAAGACCAGAAGCUCAAUCACGAAAGUGGCUUUAAACUAACUGAACCCACGAAAGCUAGGGUA